AUUGAACGCUGGCGGCAGGCCUAACACAUGCAAGUCGAGCGGCAGCGGGAAGUAGCUUGCUACUUUGCCGGCGAGCGGCGGACGGGUGAGUAAUGUCUGGGAAACUGCCUGAUGGAGGGGGAUAACUACUGGAAACGGUAGCUAAUACCGCAUAACGUCGCAAGACCAAAGAGGGGGACCUUCGGGCCUCUUGCCAUCAGAUGUGCCCAGAUGGGAUUAGCUAGUAGGUGGGGUAACGGCUCACCUAGGCGACGAUCCCUAGCUGGUCUGAGAGGCUGACCAGCCACACUGGAACUGAGACACGGUCCAGACUCCUACGGGAGGCAGCAGUGGGGAAUAUUGCACAAUGGGCGCAAGCCUGAUGCAGCCAUGCCGCGUGUAUGAAGAAGGCCUUCGGGUUGUAAAGUACUUUCAGCGGGGAGGAAGGUGUUGAGGUUAAUAACCUCAGCAAUUGACGUUACCCGCAGAAGAAGCACCGGCUAACUCCGUGCCAGCCGCCGCGGUAA
Molecule: ribosomal RNA, 506 nt
Filed under: uncultured bacterium
Lineage: Bacteria
Description: partial 16S ribosomal RNA
Rfam family: Bacterial small subunit ribosomal RNA
Source: RNAcentral